RNAcentral lists this ribosomal RNA (301 nucleotides) under uncultured bacterium. RNAcentral's name for it is "partial 16S ribosomal RNA". It matches the Rfam family "Bacterial small subunit ribosomal RNA", at positions 509 to 807 of the family's 1533-position model. The record is from RNAcentral.
CAGCAGCCGCGGUAAUACAGAGGGUGCGAGCGUUAAUCGGAUUUACUGGGCGUAAAGCGUGCGUAGGCGGCUUUUUAAGUCGGAUGUGAAAUCCCUGAGCUUAACUUAGAAAUUGCAUUCGAUACUGGGAAGCUAGAGUAUGGGAGAGGAUGGUAGAAUUCCAGGUGUAGCGGUGAAAUGCGUAGAGAUCUGGAGGAAUACCGAUGGCGAAGGCAGCCAUCUGGCCUAAUACUGACGCUGAGGUACGAAAGCAUGGGGAGCAAACAGGAUUAGAUACCCCAGUAGUCCCUGUCUCUUAUAC